UAUAAUUAAACCUAGCCUCAUCUCCCUCAGAAACCUCCGCCUCACUCCAUCAUCCCCUCAUCCAUAUCCCGCCAUUAUUUUCUCCAAAAAAUCACUCAAUUUCUCCGAAUUUGAGAUCCAAAAAUAAAAAUUCAAGCUUUUUACCUUUUGUCCAAAUUUUCUUGAUUUGGUCCUCAAUCCGUGAUAAAACCCCCAUAAAUCUCCCAUUUUUUCAAUAAAGAGAGCCGUUUUAAUCUUGAGUUUGUCCUAUCUCAUAGAUUGGCUAGAUUUCGGGGCAAAUAACCUGUUCAUGACUCAAAUCCUCUGAGCCUUUGCCUCAUCCGAUCUUUGGCAUGUGGUGAGGAUUAUUGCAUGAAUCACUGGCCAUGGACAAGAGUCCGACCAGUGUUCAUGUUAUAAUUCUCGCCAUUGGCCGAGAUUUUUUUCGUUCGAGUUCGAAUAAAGAUCUUGUUGUUCUUCUCAAAGGCAUUAAAGUUUUGUUGAUUCCACCGUUUGCAGAUCUGACCACUAAUUGAUUAGAUUGGCAAGCUCUAAAGCUAAGGAAAGGAUUUAAAGUUGAUAGAAAAAGGGUUUGGAGCUGAAGAUUAAAUCAGACCGUGUAUUAGUUUAGUUUAUUAUUGCAAAUGAUUUUGUAUACAUUAGAAGGCACUAAUUAUCAAGUGUUGUAUUUGAAAUGGCCAAAAUUGUAAAUGUCAGAUUCUAGGUGAUUUUCUUUUAAGUUUCAAAGGCCCAUGAUUCCUUUUUUUUAAUAUGUAUUUGCUGUAUUUGGACAGUUACCACAGAUUUGCAUAUUUGCAUAAGGAAUUUGGAGUCAGUUUAUAUUGGGUUUA
This is a non-coding RNA of Nicotiana tabacum (common tobacco), 830 nucleotides long. NCBI's taxonomy places the organism in Eukaryota, Viridiplantae, Streptophyta, Magnoliopsida, Solanales, Solanaceae. The record is from RefSeq and is a predicted model, not a curated record.